RNAcentral lists this ribosomal RNA (253 nucleotides) under uncultured bacterium. RNAcentral's name for it is "partial 16S ribosomal RNA". It matches the Rfam family "Bacterial small subunit ribosomal RNA", at positions 527 to 779 of the family's 1533-position model. The record is from RNAcentral.
CAGGGGUGCAAGCGUUAAUCGGAAUUACUGGGCGUAAAGCGCGCGUAGGUGGUUUGUUAAGUUGGAUGUGAAAUCCCCGGGCUCAACCUGGGAACUGCAUUCAAAACUGACUGACUAGAGUAUGGUAGAGGGUGGUGGAAUUUCCUGUGUAGCGGUGAAAUGCGUAGAUAUAGGAAGGAACACCAGUGGCGAAGGCGACCACCUGGACUAAUACUGACACUGAGGUGCGAAAGCGUGGGGAGCAAACAGGAUU